CAGUCGCCGCGGGAAUACGAAGGGUGCAAGCGUUAAUCGGAAUUACUGGGCGUAAAGCGUGCGUAGGCGGUGAGUUAAGUCUGCUGUGAAAUCCCCGGGCUCAACCUGGGAAUGGCAAUGGAUACUGGCAAGCUAGAGUGUGUCAGAGGAUGGUGGAAUUCCCGGUGUAGCGGUGAAAUGCGUAGAGAUCGGGAGGAACAUCAGUGGCGAAGGCGGCCAUCUGGGACAACACUGACGCUGAGGCACGAAAGCGUGGGGAGCAAACAGGAUUAGAUACCCCAGUAGUCCCUGUCUCUUAUAC
Molecule: ribosomal RNA, 301 nt
Filed under: uncultured bacterium
Lineage: Bacteria
Description: partial 16S ribosomal RNA
Rfam family: Bacterial small subunit ribosomal RNA
Source: RNAcentral